AGAGCGAACGCUGGCGGCAGGCCUAAUACAUGCAAGUCGAACGGCUCUUCGGAGCAGUGGCGGACGGGUGAGUAACGCGUGGGAAUGUGCCCUUUGGUACGGAACAACUGAGGGAAACUUCAGCUAAUACCGUAUGUGCCCUUCGGGGGAAAGAUUUAUUGUCAUUGGAGCAGCCCGCGUUGGAUUAGCUAGUUGGUGGGGUAAAGCCCACCAAGGCGACGAUCCAUAGCUGGUCUGAGAGGAUGAUCAGCCACACUGGGACUGAGACACGGCCCAGACUCCUACGGGAGGCAGCAGUAGGGAAUCUUGCGCAAUGGGCGAAAGCCUGACGCAGCCAUGCCGCGUGAAUGAUGAAGGUCUUAGGAUUGUAAAAUUCUUUCACCGGGAAGAUAAUGACGGUACCCGGAGAAGAAGCCCGGCUAACUUCGUGCCAGCAGCCGC
RNAcentral lists this ribosomal RNA (441 nucleotides) under uncultured soil bacterium. RNAcentral's name for it is "bacterial SSU rRNA". It matches the Rfam family "Bacterial small subunit ribosomal RNA", at positions 26 to 518 of the family's 1533-position model. The record is from RNAcentral.